RNAcentral lists this ribosomal RNA (705 nucleotides) under uncultured archaeon. RNAcentral's name for it is "bacterial SSU rRNA". It matches the Rfam family "Archaeal small subunit ribosomal RNA", at positions 129 to 834 of the family's 1478-position model. The record is from RNAcentral.
CCCCUGGGAAACUGGGACUAAUCCCUGAUAAGUCUCCGUAGCUGGAAUGCUCGGAGACGGAAAGCUCCGGCGCCACAGGAUGGGUCUGCGGCCUAUCAGGGUAGUAGUGGGUGUAGAGUACCUACUAGCCUACGACGGGUACGGGUUGUGAGAGCAAGAGCCCGGAGAUGGAUUCUGAGACACGAAUCCAGGCCCUACGGGGUGCAGCAGGCGCGAAAACUUUACAAUGCUGGCAACAGCGAUAAGGGAACCUCGAGUGCCAGGUUACAAAUCUGGCUGUCGAGAUGCCUAAAAAGCAUUUCAUAGCAAGGGCCGGGCAAGACCGGUGCCAGCCGCCGCGGUAACACCGGCGGUUCGAGUGGUAACCGUUAUUAUUGGGUCUAAAGGGUCUGUAGCCGGCCGGAUAAGUCUCUUGAGAAAUCUGGCAGCUUAACUGUCAGGCUUUCAGGAGAUACUGUCUGGCUCGAGGCCGGGAGAGGUGAGAGGUACUUCAGGGGUAGGGGUGAAAUCUUGUAAUCCUUGAAGGACCACCAGUGGCGAAGGCGUCUCACCAGAACGGACCUGACGGCAAGGGACGAAAGCUAGGGGCACGAACCGGAUUAGAUACCCGGGUAGUCCUAGCCGUAAACGAUACUCGCUAGGUGUCGGCCACGGUGCGACCGUGGUCGGUGCCGUAGGGAAGCCGUGAAGCGAGCCACCUGGGAA